UUGAACGCUGGCGGCAGGCCUAACACAUGCAAGUCGAGCGGUUGAGAGUAGCUUGCUACUUGAUGCAGCGGCGGACGGGUGAGUAACGCGUGGGAAUCUGCCCAGUAGUGGGGGACAACAGCCGGAAACGGCUGCUAAUACCGCAUACGCCCUACGGGGGAAAGGGGGGGAUCUUCGGACCCCUCGCUAUUGGAUGAGCCCGCGUCGGAUUAGCUAGUUGGUAGGGUAAAGGCCUACCAAGGCUACGAUCCGUAACUGGUCUGAGAGGAUGAUCAGUCACACUGGAACUGAGACACGGUCCAGACUCCUACGGGAGGCAGCAGUGGGGAAUAUUGGACAAUGGGGGAAACCCUGAUCCAGCCAUGCCGCGUGUGUGAAGAAGGCCUUAGGGUUGUAAAGCACUUUCAGUGGGGAGAAAGGUUUGUCACCUAAUACGUGAUGAAAUUGAUGUUACCCACAGAAGAAGCACCGGCUAACUCCGUGCCAGCAGCCGCCGUAA
Molecule: ribosomal RNA, 499 nt
Filed under: uncultured bacterium
Lineage: Bacteria
Description: partial 16S ribosomal RNA
Rfam family: Bacterial small subunit ribosomal RNA
Source: RNAcentral